UACGGGGGGGUAAGCGUUGUUCGGAAUUACUGGGCGUGAAGGGCUCGUAGGCGGCCAACUAAGUCAUACGUGAAAUCCCUCAGCUUAACUGGGGAACUGCGUGUGAUACUGGAUGGCUUGGAUUUGGGAGAGGGAUGCGGAAUUCCAGGUGUAGCGGUGAAAUGCGUAGAUAUCUGGAGGAACACCGGUGGCGAAGGCGGCAUCCUGGACCAAUAUUGACGCUGAGGAGCGAAAGCCAGGGGAGCAAACGGG
RNAcentral lists this ribosomal RNA (252 nucleotides) under uncultured bacterium. Its description in RNAcentral is "partial 16S ribosomal RNA". It matches the Rfam family "Bacterial small subunit ribosomal RNA", at positions 524 to 776 of the family's 1533-position model. The record is from RNAcentral.